UGGGGAAUUUUGGACAAUGGGGGCAACCCUGAUCCAGCCAUGCCGCGUGCGGGAAGAAGGCCUUCGGGUUGUAAACCGCUUUUGGCAGGAACGAAACGGUGCGGGCGAAUACCCUGUGCUAAUGACGGUACCUGCAGAAUAAGCACCGGCUAACUACGUGCCAGCAGCCGCGGUAAUACGUAGGGUGCGAGCGUUAAUCGGAAUUACUGGGCGUAAAGCGUGCGCAGGCGGUUGUGCAAGACAGGUGUGAAAUCCCCGGGCUUAACCUGGGAACUGCAUUUGUGACUGCACGGCUAGAGUUUGUCAGAGGGGGGUGGAAUUCCACGUGUAGCAGUGAAAUGCGUAGAUAUGUGGAAGAACACCGAUGGCGAAGGCAGCCCCCUGGGAUGAGACUGACGCU
Molecule: ribosomal RNA, 400 nt
Filed under: uncultured bacterium
Lineage: Bacteria
Description: bacterial SSU rRNA
Rfam family: Bacterial small subunit ribosomal RNA
Source: RNAcentral